GUAGGUGAACCUGCGGAAGGAUCAUUAGUGAAAUUUGUAGUCUUCGGACUCUCUUCUCUAUCCAUUACCAACACCUGUGCACCUUAUUAGUAAGUGUUAGCAAUAACCUUACUACUAUCAAUAUUAACAAUGUUAUAAGAAUGUAUUAGUACUUGUUGUAAUGACAAGGACAACCUAAUAAAACUUUCAACAACGGAUCUCUUGGCUCUG
RNAcentral lists this unclassified non-coding RNA (210 nucleotides) under rhizosphere metagenome. RNAcentral's name for it is "partial ribosomal RNA internal transcribed spacer region". The record is from RNAcentral.